GUGGGGAAUUUUGGACAAUGGGCGAAAGCCUGAUCCAGCAAUGCCGCGUGCAGGAUGAAGGCCUUCGGGUUGUAAACUGCUUUUGUACGGAACGAAAAAGCUCCUUCUAAUACAGGGGGCCCAUGACGGUACCGUAAGAAUAAGCACCGGCUAACUACGUGCCAGCAGCCGCGGUAAUACGUAGGGUGCGAGCGUUAAUCGGAAUUACUGGGCGUAAAGCGUGCGCAGGCGGUUAUGUAAGACAGAUGUGAAAUCCCCGGGCUCAACCUGGGAACUGCAUUUGUGACUGCAUGGCUAGAGUACGGUAGAGGGGGAUGGAAUUCCGCGUGUAGCAGUGAAAUGCGUAGAUAUGCGGAGGAACACCGAUGGCGAAGGCAAUCCCCUGGACCUGUACUGACGCUCAUGCACGAAAGCGUGGGGAGCAAACAGGAUUAGAAACCCGAGUAGUCC
This 450-nucleotide ribosomal RNA is filed under the name uncultured Delftia sp. RNAcentral describes it as "bacterial SSU rRNA". It matches the Rfam family "Bacterial small subunit ribosomal RNA", at positions 354 to 796 of the family's 1533-position model. The record is from RNAcentral. Lineage: Bacteria; Pseudomonadati; Pseudomonadota; Betaproteobacteria; Burkholderiales; Comamonadaceae.